This 253-nucleotide ribosomal RNA is filed under the name uncultured bacterium. RNAcentral's name for it is "partial 16S ribosomal RNA". It matches the Rfam family "Bacterial small subunit ribosomal RNA", at positions 524 to 776 of the family's 1533-position model. The record is from RNAcentral.
UACGAAGGGGGCUAGCGUUGUUCGGAAUUACUGGGCGUAAAGGGCGCGUAGGCGGCGUUUUAAGUCGGGGGUGAAAGCCUGUGGCUCAACCACAGAAUGGCCUUCGAUACUGGGACGCUUGAGUAUGGUAGAGGUUGGUGGAACUGCGAGUGUAGAGGUGAAAUUCGUAGAUAUUCGCAAGAACACCGGUGGCGAAGGCGGCCAACUGGACCAUUACUGACGCUGAGGCGCGAAAGCGUGGGGAGCGAACAGG